Molecule: ribosomal RNA, 1185 nt
Filed under: Clypeosectus curvus
Lineage: Eukaryota; Metazoa; Mollusca; Gastropoda; Lepetellida; Lepetodrilidae
Description: SSU rRNA
Rfam family: Eukaryotic small subunit ribosomal RNA
Source: RNAcentral
CUGGUUGAUCCUGCCAGUAAUCAUAUGCUUGUCUCAAAGAUUAAGCCAUGCAUGUCUAAGUACAAACUCUAGCACAGUGAAACUGCGAAUGGCUCAUUAGAUCAGUUAUGGUUCCUUAGAUGAUACAAUCCUACUUGGAUAACUGUGGUAAUUCUAGAGCUAAUACAUGCACUAAAGCUCCGACCCUUUCUGAGGGGAAGAGCGCGUUUAUCAGUUCGAAGCCAGCCGAGCCGCAAGGKCUCCUUCUUUGGUGACUCUGGAUAACUCUAGCGGAUCGCACGGCCUCGAGCCGGCGACGCAUCUAUCAAGUGUCUGCCCUAUCAGACUGUCGAUGGUAAGUGCUAUGCUUACCAUGGUGAUAACGGGUAACGGGGAAUCAGGGUUCGAUUACGGAGAAGGAGCCUGAGAAACGGCUACCACAUCCAAGGAAGGCAGCAGGCGCGCAAAUUACCCAAUCUCGAUACGAGGAGGUAGUGACGAAAAAUAACAAUACGGGACUCUUUCGAGGCCCCGUAAUUGGAAUGAGUGUACUCUAAACGUGUGCACGAGGAUCUAUUGGAGGGCAAGUCUGGUGCCAGCAGCCGCGGUAAUUCCAGCUCCAAUAGCGUAUAUUAAAGCUGUUGUGGUUAAAAAGCUCGUAGUUGGAUCUCAGGGUCGUUCGCGUCGGUCCCUUGCUGCAAUGGCUCGGGUACUGCGCGGUGUCGUCCCCCUUGCCAGACCUCUCAAAAAGGUUGCUCUUGACUGAGUGGCCUGCUCGAGUGGCUGGAGAGUUUACUUUGAAAAAAUUAGAGUGUUCAAAGCAGGCACAGCCCGCCUGUAUAAUGGUGCAUGGAAUAAUGGAAUAGGACCCCGGAUCCUAUUUUGCUGGUUUUUGGAGCUCAGGGGUAAUGAUUAAGAGGAACAGGGCGGGGGCAUCCGUAUUACGGCGUUAGAGGUUGAAAUUCUUGGAUCGUCGUAAGACGCCCUACAGCGAAAGCAUUUGCCAAGUAUGUUUUCAUUAAUCAAGAACGAAAGUCAGAGGUUCGAAGACGAUCAGAUACCGUCGUAGUUCUGACCGUAAACUAUGCCAACUGGCAGCCCGUCGGCGUUGCUCUAUUCGACUCGGCGGGAGGCCUACCCGAAAGGAAAGUCUACGGGUUCCAGGGGAAGUAUGGUUGCAAAGCUGAAGCUUAAAGGAAUUGACGG